Molecule: ribosomal RNA, 207 nt
Filed under: uncultured bacterium
Lineage: Bacteria
Description: partial 16S ribosomal RNA
Rfam family: Bacterial small subunit ribosomal RNA
Source: RNAcentral
UGCGCAGGCGGGACUGCAAGUUGGAUGUGAAAUACCGAGGCUCAACCUCGGGGCUGCAUCCAAAACUGUAGUUCUUGAGUGGAGUAGAGGCAAGCGGAAUUCCGAGUGUAGCGGUGAAAUGCGUAGAUAUUAGGAGGAACACCAGUGGCGAAGGCGGCUUUCUGGACGAUGUCUGACGCUGAGGCGCGAAAGCUAGGGGAGCGAACG